GAUGAAGAACGUAGUGAAAUGCGAUAAGUAAUGUGAAUUGCAGAAUUCAGUGAAUCAUCGAAUCUUUGAACGCACAUUGCGCCCCUUGGUAUUCCGAGGGGCAUGCCUGUUCGAGCGUCAUUAUAACCCCUCAAGCUCAGCUUGGUGUUGGGGCCUGCUGCACUGGCAGCCCUUAAAAUCAGUGCCGGCGCCAUCUGGCUCUAAGCGUAGUAAUUCUUCUCGCUAUGGAGUCCUGGUGGAUGCUUGCCAUCAACCCCCAAUUUUUCUAUGGUUGACCUCGGAUCAGGUAGGGAUACCCGCUGAACUUAAGCAUAUCAAUAAGCGGAGGA
This 329-nucleotide unclassified non-coding RNA is filed under the name soil metagenome. RNAcentral describes it as "partial contains 5.8S ribosomal RNA, internal transcribed spacer 2, and large subunit ribosomal RNA". The stretch from base 1 to 120 matches the Rfam family "5.8S ribosomal RNA", at positions 35 to 154 of the family's 154-position model. The record is from RNAcentral.